AGUCUGUUCGACUUUUAAAUCUUUACAUGAUCUGAGUUCAAACCGGUGUGAGCCAGGUUGGUUUCUAUCUUUAAUAAAUUGAAAUAUUUUAGUACGAAAGGACCAAAUAUU
RNAcentral lists this ribosomal RNA (111 nucleotides) under Diptera sp. 59 LC-2017. RNAcentral describes it as "partial 16S ribosomal RNA". It matches the Rfam family "Bacterial large subunit ribosomal RNA", at positions 2574 to 2700 of the family's 2925-position model. Lineage: Eukaryota; Metazoa; Arthropoda; Insecta; Diptera. The record is from RNAcentral.